This 421-nucleotide ribosomal RNA is filed under the name uncultured Faecalibacterium sp. RNAcentral describes it as "bacterial SSU rRNA". It matches the Rfam family "Bacterial small subunit ribosomal RNA", at positions 355 to 794 of the family's 1533-position model. Lineage: Bacteria; Bacillati; Bacillota; Clostridia; Eubacteriales; Oscillospiraceae. The record is from RNAcentral.
UGGGGAAUAUUGCACAAUGGGGGAACCCUGAUGCAGCGACGCCGCGUGGAGGAAGAAGGUCUUCGGAUUGUAAACUCCUGUUGUUGGGGAAGAUAAUGACGGUACCCAACAAGGAAGUGACGGCUAACUACGUGCCAGCAGCCGCGGUAAAACGUAGGUCACAAGCGUUGUCCGGAAUUACUGGGUGUAAAGGGAGCGCAGGCGGGAAUGCAAGUUGGAAGUGAAAUCCAUGGGCUCAACCCAUGAACUGCUUUCAAAACUGCAUUUCUUGAGUAGUGCAGAGGUAGAUGGAAUUCCCGGUGUAGCGGUGGAAUGCGUAGAUAUCGGGAGGAACACCAGUGGCGAAGGCGGUCUACUGGGCACCAACUGACGCUGAGGCUCGAAAGCAUGGGUAGCAAACAGGAUUAGAUACCCUGGUAGU